AUGCAAGUCGAACGGCAGCACAGGAGAGCUUGCUCUCUGGGUGGCGAGUGGCGGACGGGUGAGGAAUAUAUCGGAAUCUACCCUUUCGUGGGGGAUAACGUAGGGAAACUUACGCUAAUACCGCAUACGAACUGAGGUUGAAAGCGGCGGACCGCAAGGCGUCGCGCGGAUGGAUGAGCCGAUAUCCGAUUAGCUAGUUGGCGGGGUAAAGGCCCACCAAGGCGACGAUCGGUAGCUGGUCUGAGAGGAUGAUCAGCCACACUGGAACCGAGACACGGUCCAGACUCCUACGGGAGGCAGCAGUGGGGAAUAUUGGACAAUGGGCGCAAGCCUGAUCCAGCCAUGCCGCGUGUGUGAAGAAGGCCUUCGGGUUGUAAAGCACUUUUGUUGGGAAAGAAAAGCGGUCGGUUAAUACCCGGUCGUUCUGACGGUACCCAAAGAAUAAGCACCGGCUAACUUCGUGCCAGCAGCCGCGGUAAUACGAAGGGUGCAAGCGUUACUCGGAAUUACUGGGCGUAAAGCGUGCGUAGGUGGUUUGUUAAGUCAGAUGUGAAAGCCCCGGGCUCAACCUGGGAAUUGCAUUUGAUACUGGCAGACUAGUGUGCGGUAGAGGAGAGUGGAAUUCCCGGUGUAGCAGUGAAAUGCGUAGAGAUCGGGAGGAACAUCAGUUGCGAAGGCGGCUCUCUGGACCAGCACUGACACUGAGGCACGAAAGCGUGGGGAGCAAACAGGAUUAGAUACCCUGGUAGUCCACGCCCUAAACGGUGCGAACUGGACGUUGGGAUCAAUUGAGAUUUCAGUGUCGAAGCUAACGCGUUAAGUUCGCCGCCUGGGGAGUACGGUCGCAAGACUGAAACUCNAAGGAAUUGACGGGGGCCCGCACAAGCGGUGGAGUAUGUGGUUCAAUUCGAUGCUACGCGCAGAACCUUACCUGGUCUUGACAUGUCGAGAACUUUCU
RNAcentral lists this ribosomal RNA (958 nucleotides) under uncultured Lysobacteraceae bacterium. RNAcentral describes it as "bacterial SSU rRNA". It matches the Rfam family "Bacterial small subunit ribosomal RNA", at positions 55 to 1001 of the family's 1533-position model. Lineage: Bacteria; Pseudomonadati; Pseudomonadota; Gammaproteobacteria; Lysobacterales; Lysobacteraceae. The record is from RNAcentral.